This 460-nucleotide ribosomal RNA is filed under the name uncultured bacterium. RNAcentral's name for it is "partial 16S ribosomal RNA". It matches the Rfam family "Bacterial small subunit ribosomal RNA", at positions 338 to 795 of the family's 1533-position model. The record is from RNAcentral.
CCUACGGGAGGCAGCAGUGAGGAAUAUUGGUCAAUGGGCGCGAGCCUGAACCAGCCAAGUAGCGUGAAGGAUGACUGCCCUACGGGUUGUAAACUUCUUUUAUAAAGGAAUAAAGUGAGGCUCGUGUGCCUUUUUGUAUGUACUUUAUGAAUAAGGAUCGGCUAACUCAGUGCCAGCAGACGCGGUAAUACGGAGGAUCCGAGCGUUAUCUGGAUUUAUUGUGUUUAAAGGGAGCGUAGAUGGGUUGUUAAGUCAGUUGUGAAAGUUUGCGGCUCAACCGUAAAAUUGCAAUUGAUACUGGCAGUCUUGAGUACAGGUGAGGUAGGCGGAAUUCGUGGUGUAGCGGUGAAAUGCGUAGAUAUCACGAAGAACACCGAUUGCGAAGGCAGCUUACUAAACUGCCACUGACAUUGAGGCUCGAAAGUGUGGGUAUCAAACAGGAUUAGAGACCCUUGUAGUC